ACGAAUCUGAGUUACUUUGCAAGGUCAUGAGGCUGUCAAGAGCUGAGCCGAGCUAGGACACCAGGUAAGGCCCUCCUUCCUGUCACUUACUGGCUUUGCCUCUCCAUCACCCAAAUCAGUGACCACUCCCUGACCAUCUGUUCUCUGGAGGGCCAAAGCCAGUAAGUUAGUGGACAGAGCUCAUGGCGUCUGGGAGCUUUCAGGCUGGAUGGGGCAAUGUGCCAGUUGUGUACACCUGGCUACAAUGUGACGCCGUGCUGGGUGCGCACCGUGUGACGGCACAGGCCACAGUGCUGAGCCCUUCAGGAUGCAAGAGACAAUAAGGACCAAAAUAUGUAGGUGUGGUAACUGCCAGAACCCCCGCCCUCCCAUGCUAACCCUGAGGUACACACAUACACGUACACAUAUGUAUGCACACACAGCAGCCUGCGGGCCUGGGCACGAAGUCCUGCCGGCCGGGGCGGGGUGCAGAGAGAGCGCACCUGUCAGGCCGCGGAGCUGCCAGCGCUCCCCCUCCCCCAGCCCCGCAGGCGCCCGCGCCCCCUCCCCGCACAUCUAUUUAUAUCGCUCUACCAGCCCGGUCCUUAUUGGGCAGCGCCUGCCGUUUCGGUGCCAUCGCGGAGGCCCCAGCAGAGGACUGUGUCCGCGCCCGAAGAGCCGGCAGCCUUAACAUCAAGAUCAACACCUCAGGAACUGAUUAGUCUGAACUACCUGCACUGUGUUAGGUCAUAUGGUCCUCUCUGGAAGAUGAUCUUGGCCCUCUAGCAUUGUAGGUAUUGGUACCUUGGGAGGGUUUCUGUGUAUCAGUACAAGUGGAUAGAAAAUCUUAAAAUAAUUAUUUCCUUACAAGAACGAUUUAUCCUUUUUAGCUUAAAAUAACAGCCCCCAUCUAUAAAGUUGAUUAAUGUGUUUAUGUAUAAAGAAGGCUGCAUAAUAUGAUUUGGACUAAUCAUAAUGUGUUGUAGAAAAGCUCAGAAAUGUAAUGAUCUUUUAAUUACCCAUAGCUGGAUUCUCAAUAAAUCUAAACCAAAUAAAGCA
RNAcentral lists this long non-coding RNA (1038 nucleotides) under Sus scrofa (pig). Its description in RNAcentral is "lncRNA (ENSSSCG00055023316.1)". Lineage: Eukaryota; Metazoa; Chordata; Mammalia; Artiodactyla; Suidae. The record is from RNAcentral.